UGUUAUUCUCCCUUGCCAAAGCAAUAUCAUCACCAUCUUCAUCAACUGAUGAGGCAGAGGCUCUGCGCAGCACCGGUUGGUGGAAUUCUACCUCUGCUCAUUGCCACUGGGAUGGUGUAUAUUGCAAUAAUGCCGGAAGAGUGACUGGAAUCGCCCUUAACGGUUCAGGAAAAGAAUUGGGUGAGCUUAGCAAAUUGGAGUUUUCUUCAUUUCCCAGCCUGGUUGAGCUCAACCUUUGUGCCUGUGGACUCAAUGGUAGCAUCCCGCACCAAAUAGGUACUCUUACUCAACUCACUGUUCUUUCUCUCCAUGAUAACAAUCUUACAGGUGAGAUACCUCUGUCCUUGGCUAACCUCACUCAGUUGCUCUACCUCACCCUUUGUUCUAAUCCACUACAUGGUUCGAUUCCUCCUGAAAUUGGGAAAAUGAAGAAUCUGAUUUUUUUGGAUUUGGGUUAUAGUAACCUUAUUGGUGUCAUCCCUUCAUCUUUUGGUAAUCUUACCACUUUGACUACUCUCUAUCUUGAUGGUAAUCAAAUAAGUGGUUUAAUCCCUCCUCAAAUUGGGAAAAUGAAGAAUCUGAAGUCGCUUUUACUUUCUCAUAAUGGACUACAUGGUCCAAUUCCUCCCGAAAUUGGGGGAAUGAAGAAUCUGAAUAAGUUGAAUUUAGGUUAUAACAACCUUACUGGUGUCAUCCCUUCAUCUUUUGGUAAUCUUACCAAUAUGAAUUCUCUUUCUUUUCGAGGUAAUCAAAUCAGUGGUUUUAUUCCUCUUGAAAUUUGGUAUCUUUUGAAUUUAUCAUAUUUAGAUCUCAGUGAGAAUCAAAUCAGUGGUUUCAUCCCCGAAGAAAUAGUAAAUUUGAAGAAAUUGAGUCAUCUAGACAUGAGUAAUAACUUAAUAAGUGGAAAGAUACCUUCACAGUUGGGAAAUUUGAAAGAAGUAAAAUACUUCAAUCUCUCCCACAAUAACCUCUCUGGCACCAUUCCUUAUUCUAUUUCUAGUAACUACAACAAAUGGACAUUGAUUGAUUUAUCAAACAAUCGGUUGGAGGGUCAAACUAGAGCUCCGGUAGAGGCAUUUGGCCACAACAAAGGUCUAUGUGGUGAAAUCAAAGGUCGGCCACGAUGCAAGAAAAGGCACCAAAUCACACUCAUCAUUGUUGUUUCUUUAUCUACAACCUUGUUGCUUUCAAUUGCAAUCCUUGGUUUUCUCUUCCAUAAACGAAGGAUCAGAAAAAAUCAAUUACUCGAGACAACAAAGGUGAAAAAUGGAGAUCUAUUUUCCAUAUGGGACUAUGAUGGUGUGAUUGCUUAUCAAGACAUCAUCCAAGCAACCGAAGAUUUUGACAUCAAAUACUGCAUAGGCACGGGAGGCUAUGGGAGCGUUUACAGAGCACAACUACCUUCCGGGAAGGUGGUUGCCUUGAAAAAACUUCAUGGAUGGGAAAGAGGGGAUCCAACUUACUUGAAAAGCUUUGAAAAUGAAGUUCAAAUGCUAACAAGAAUACGACAUCGUAAUAUUGUGAAACUUCAUGGCUUUUGUCUACAUAAGAGAUGCAUGUUUCUAGUUUACAAAUAUAUGGAGAAAGGAAGCUUGUAUUGUAUGCUAAGGGAUGAAGUUGAGGCUGUGGAAUUGGAUUGGAUUAAGAGGGUGAAUGUUGUUAAAAGCAUUGCUAAUGCUUUAUCCUACAUGCAUCAUGACUGCGACUUGCCCAUCAUUCAUCGAGACAUAUCAAGUAAUAACAUUCUUUUGGACUCUAAGCUUGAAGCUUUUGUUUCGGAUUUUGGCACUGCAAGAUUGUUAGAUAAUGAUUCAUCCAAUCGAACCCUUCUUGUAGGCACUUAUGGUUAUAUUGCACCAGGUAAGCUAGAUUAUAAUCUUCACUAGUUUUCAUUACUUAUGAAUCUUUUCAAUUGUCACACCCUUACAAAAUUCCAAAAGUUUUUUAGAUCGAGAAUUCAAAAUAUUUUAUAAGUUUUCUCUAUAUAAAUAACAUGAAUACUCUUUUUUUUUCUAUAUUUUGCAGAGCUUGCUUAUACUAUGGUUGUGACUGAAAAAUGUGACAUUUAUAGCUUUGGGAUGGUUGCAUUGGAGACAAUGAUGGGAAUGCAUCCAGGAGAAUUUGUCACCUCAUUAUCAUCUUCAUCAACUCAAAACACAACGUUAAAGGAUGUAUUAGAUUCACGUCUUUCAUCUCCUAAAAGUACACAAGUUGCUAAUAACAUAGCUCUUAUAGUGUCAUUGGCGCUCAAAUGUCUCCAUUCUAAUCCACAAUUUCGUCCAUCCAUGCAAGAAGUGUCUUCGAAACUUGUUUCUACAAGGUCAUUCCCACAACCCAUCAGUACAAUAUCACUUUUGCAACUAAAAGAUGAAGUUAUUUAAAUGGCAUGGAGUUGGUAUGUAAUUGGAGUGAAGAUGUUUAUUUUCCAUUUUUCUUUUUCAUGGUAAUGAGAAUUUUAUAAUAUAUGUAUCCCUUCUUUCCUAUUAAUUACUCAAAUGCAAAUUUUCUAUUUGUUUUUCCAAAGCGGCAAUAGUGUAAUGUGAUACUAAGAAUUACAUCAAAUUGAUACACAAUGAUCUAUAAACUUUUAAUGAACCAUGUCAUUCCGAUUAAUAAUUUUUUAUAAUGAUUCUUUUUUGGAGAAAAAUCCUUCUUUUUCUUUUAUCAAUUUUAACAUAUAUACCAUUUUCUCCAUUUUCAUAUUCUAAUCAAUCAAAUUAGUGACAUUUCUUGUAAAUGUGACAAACCUAUUGUCAAAGGCAUUAAAAAAAUUAGGGAAAAAACAAAUUGAAUAAUUUCAAUGUGAUUGUCUCUACAUGAUGAAGAUAAUAAAUUUAUUUUAUUUAUUUUUAAAAUACUGUUUUAUCCAUUUUUCCUAUAUCAUCUAAAAUUUUGUCUAAAAUAAAAUUAUUUGAUUUUGUAUAAGAAUACUUAAAAAUGUCGGUGGGAAUGUGGGAUACUAGGCUGACACUAAAACACCAAAUGACAUACUUGUGAUACAAUAUUAAGAAAUUAUUUCAUAAUAUUUUAUAAUUUGUUUCUACUAUUUAGUCACCCAUAAAUAUCAAUUUUAAAAAAAUUUAAUGAUUAAAGAAAAUUAAGUGAGAUAUAAUUAAAUAACUCUAAAAAUUUUAUUUUCCCAUCAUGGAAUAACAGAAUUGAUAUUCAUACUAAUGAUUUUAUUAAGAUAAGAUACCUAGUCGAUAAAAUGUCCUUGAUUUUAUAUAAAAUUAGACAUUAUAUUUACUUAAAUUAUUUUCAUAAUAGUAGCAUAUUUGUUAAAUAUAUGAAACUAUUCAAAUUGAAUAAUUUAGGUAAACUAUGAAUAUUAUAAGUACGCCAUUAAUGCUCCUCGUUUUAAAAGAAGCAAUAUUUCAGUUUCAUAUCUAAAGUUUUUUUUUCCAACUCCAAUUGGUGUAUAUAGACCCGAUUUUGUAGUGAAGCUUGGCAGCUAGUAGGAUUUCCUUCACAGAAAAGAAUGGACAGAUGAAAUAAACAGAAACCAAACCAAGAGAUGAGUGUGGUGUAUUCUCAUUCCUUGGCUAGAAUCCCCACAUCACAGGUACUGCCUGUUAGCUUUUUUCUUAUAAUGUGUGGCCAUAUACAAUUAUAUUUGUAUGAAUAUUAUUUAAGGGUAUCAAUUGAUAGGUUGGUGAAUCAAUUGAUUGGGCAUCCAAGAGUCUUAUGUAUGGAAGAUUCAAAUUUAUAAAUGGGGAGUUAGAAAAUUUAACUCAUAUGAAUGUGGUGUUACAACUUUUGUAACCCCAUCAUUAUGAAAUUUAUUUGUACAUUAUGUUUAUGAGUAAUGGAGGAAAAUGGAAAAGUAUAACCUAUGCAAUUAUAUAGAUGCAUUCAAGUUCAUAACCCACCAUUACCCAUUGAUUUGUACAUAAUGGGUGUAAAUAAUGAGUAUAACUCUCAUAUAGUCUUUGAUGGGAAGACUAAGAGAUGUACAAUUUUUUUUAUAAGUUCAAGUCCCAAGCCACACUCUCAUUCUUAUAUCAUUUUUGUUAUUUAUUUUUAACAACAUACACCAUACAAAUGACUCAUCCACUAUAUGAGAGUAGUGAGUUGAAGACCUUGACAAUAUAAUUCACAAGGUGACUUAAUCUCACUUCAUGGUUCAAGGUAAGAAUAUGAUCAUUAUUUUAGUAUUUACAUUUAUUUUGUUUUAUGCAUCCAAAAUUGUUUUUUAAAAUAAUUAUUUCCGCAUAAAGUUUAUAAAAGUUUGGUUAACAAUUGGUAUCAGAGCCAACCAAUUUUGGAUCAUAAAACAUAUUUUUCCGUUUUUUGAUUAUUGUUUGAUCUUAUGGACAACUAAAAUAUAUAUGAUGUGAUGCAUAUGAAUGAUGUAGUAACACAACAUUUUCAAUGUUUCAUGAUUUCAAUCAUAUCUAUUGCAUGAUUUUAUGAAAGUUGAAAACAUAUGAUUAGUAAUUUAAAUGUGUGAUUAUGGAAAUCUCAAGAAAUAGUUUUUCUAGUAUGCAUGUUUAUUUACUUGUUUGUUUGAAGAUGAUCAUAUAUAUAUAUAUAUAUAUGUGUGUGUGUGUGUGUGUGUGUGUGUGUGUUGUUCAACUUAUGAAACAAGUGUUGAUCAACCCAACGGAGGAUCAUCACCAUGUUUGAUUAUAUGAAAAGAGUUUAAUAAUAAAAAGUUGAUGAAGUUUUUACCCAACGGUAUUAAACUUCUUUACGUUUCAAUACUUUUAUUUUAAUAAUUAUGUCAUAUCUAUAUGAUUUAUGAAUUAUUAUAAUUCAACCCAACGGAGGGAUUAUAAUAAUGUACUUUUGAAUUAUAUGAUUGUAGUUCGGUCCAACGAAAGAACUAUGAUAUAAUCUCUUAUGUUUAUAAUUAAUGUGAUAUCUAACUUAAUUUUUGUUGUAAUUAGAUUAUUGUAAAGUGUGGUGUUAAAUAUUGUCAUGAUAUAAAAUAAUUUUCCUUUUGAAUUAAUCCUAUUGCUAUUAUAGGCUAUUUGUCUGGUAUUGAACAAUUAAGUGGGGCAAAUUUUAAAAAAUGGAAGGAACAAAUUGGAAUUAUUCUUGGUUGCAUGGAUUUGGACUAUGCCUUAAGAGAACCUACACCCACAAAGCCUACUUCUGAAAGGACUAAUGAACAAAAGGUUUUAUAUGAAAAGUGGGAGCGCUCUAAUCGCAUGAGUCUAAUGAUUAUGAAAGGUUCAAUCACUCCUGCAAUUCGUGGAGCAAUCCCGGAUUCAGAUAAUGCAAUAACCUAUAUUAAAUCAGUUGAAAAACAAUUCUUAGGAACUUCCAAGUCCUUGGCAAGUACUCUUAUGAUCAAAAUGAUAACAAUGAAAUAUGAUGGUCAUAGUGGUGUACGUGAGCACAUCAUGAAGAUGAGUGACAUGGCUUCUCAAUUGAAAGGAAUGGACAUGACAAUUUCUGAAGGUUUUCUUGUUCACUUCAUAAUGACUUCCCUUUCUUCACAAUUUGGUCAUUUCAAAAUUAAUUAUAAUACUCAGAAGGAUAAGUGGAAAAUGAGUGAACUAAUUGCCAUGUGUGUUCAAGAAGAAGAGAGGCUUAAAGUGGAAAAGCCCGAUAUGGCUCACCUCACCAUUGGUCCAAAUAAAAAAUCCUUCAAGAAAGGUAAAGGUAAGAAAAAUAAGCAAGGUAAUGAUGUAUCUCACAAUGGGCAAAAGUAUGAAAAUAAGAUACAAUGUUAUUUUUUCCACAAGAAAGGUCACAAAAGAAGAGAUUGUUCUGGCUUUAAGCCUUGGUUGGAAAAGAAAGGUAAAACUCAAUGCUUAGUGUCUUAUGAAUCUUAUUUAGUUGAUAUACCACCAAACUCUUGGUGGAUUGACACUGAUGCAAGCAUUCACAUAACGAAUUCAUUGCAGGGAUACCUUACAAGCAAGAUACUAAGUAAAGGAGAGCGAACCAUUACUUUGGGAAAUGGAACAGAAGUGGAAAUUGAGGCUAUUGACACUCUUUGUUUAAUUUUGGAUACUGGUUUCAUUAUGGAUUUAGUAGAUAUAGUUUAUAUUCCUGUUUUUAUUAGAAACCUAAUUUCAGUUCCAAGACUUGAUUCUUAUGGUUAUGAAUUAAAGUUUGGAAAUAAUGGAGUUUCCUUGUUCUAUAAUUCUUGUUUGGUUGGCUCUGGCACUUUACAUGGUAAUCUUUAUUCAUUGAAUUUAGAUUGCAAAUAUUCACAGUCUCUUUUAUCUUAUCAUGUGUAUGAAUUCUCUAAAAAACGAAAUCAAGUGAAUGAAAAUUCAUCCAUAUUGUGGCAUAAGCGAUUGGGUCACAUUUCAAGAGAAAGGAUGGAACAUCUUAUUAAAGAUGAAAUUUUGACUUCACCUGAUUUUUCUGAUUUUACUAAUUGUGUUGAAUGCAUAAAGGGAAAACACACUAAGGUUAAGAAAAAGGGUGCCUCAAGGGCUACUAAAUUGUUAGAAUGUAUUCAUUAUGACAUUUGGGGACCUUAUUCAAUUCCAACUAUCAAUGGACAUAAGUACUUUAUUAGUUUUAUUGAUGACUUUUCAAGGUAUUCUUAUGUGUAUCUUAUUCGUGAAAAAUCUGAAGCAUUAGAUGUUUUUAAGAUUUAUAAAGCUGAGGUUGAAAAUCAACUCAAUCGGCGAAUUAUAAGUGUAAGAUCUGAUAGAUGUGGUGAAUAUUAUGGUAGGUUCACCAAAUCAGGUCAACAUCUUAGUGCUUUUGCCUUAUUUUUAAGAGAGCAUGGUAUCAUUGCAAACUACACAAUGCCUGGAACACCAGAGCAAAAUGGUGUAGCAGAGCGACAAAAUCGUACUCUAAUUGACAUGGUGAGAAGUAUGAUGAGUGACUCAACCUUGCCUGAAUUUUUGUGGGGUGAAGCAUUGAAAACUGCUGUUCACAUUCUCAAUCGUGUUUUUAGUAAGGUUGUACCCAAAACUCCUUAUGAGUUAUGGGUGGGUAGGAAACCGAAUUUGAAUUAUUUACAUGUAUGGGGAUGUCCAGUUCAAGCUAAAAUUUUUAACCCACAAAUCAAGAAAUUGGAUUCUAAAACCAUAAGUUGCAAUUUCAUUGGCUAUCCUGAAAGAUCAAAAGGUUUUAGAUUUUAUUGUCAUGGUCAGGGCCCUAAAAUUUUUGAAACUAGACAUGCUGUGUUUUUGGAAAAUGAAUAUUUUAGUGGGAGAACUGAGCUUAAAAAGUUAACCUCUAAUGAAGUAUCAACACCAAUGAUGGAAUAUGGUGUGACUCAAGAGGUUUCUUGUAAUGAAAAUGAGAAUGUCCCAACUACAGAAGCAUCUUUACGUAGAUCACAAAGAGAGAAAAAACCUGCUAUAUCAAAUGACUAUGAAGUUUAUCUUAAUGAGUGUGAUUAUGACGUUGGCUUGGAAAGUGAUCCUACUUCUUAUGAUCAAGCCAUCAAUAGUGAAAAUUCAACUCUAUGGCUUUAUGCUAUGGAAGAAGAGUUGAAAUCAAUGAAAGAUAAUGAAGUUUGGGAUCUUGUAAAAUUGCCUAAAGGAGAUAAAACUAUUGGUUGCAAAUGGAUUUUUAAAACCAAACAUGAUUUUAAGGGCAAUGUCGAAAAAUACAAGGCUAGGUUAGUUGCAAAAGGAUACACUCAAAAAGAAGGAAUCGACUAUAAGGAAGCAUUUUCUCCUGUUUCCAAGAAAGAUUCCUUAAGAAUAGUCAUGACUUUAGUAGCUCAUGUUGACUUAGAGUUACAUCAAAUGGACGUUAAAAUUGCAUUUUUGAAUAGUGACUUGCAUGAAGAGGUUUAUAUGGAUCAACCCGGGGGUUUUUAGGAUAAAAGCAAGGAACAUAUGGUAUGUAAACUUAAAAAGUCCAUAUAUGGUCUAAAACAGGCUUCUAGAUAAUGGUAUCUUAAGUUCCAUGAAAUUCUCAUCACUUUUGGUUUCAAAGAGAAUCUAGUGGAUCAAUGUAUAUACCUUAAGAUCAGUGGAAGCAAAAUUUGUAUUAUUGUAUUGUAUGUUGAUGAUAUGUUGCUUGCUAGCAACAAUAUGAGAAUGAUUUUGGAGACCAAACAAUUUUUAUCCAAGAAUUUUUAUAUGAAAGAUCUUGGUGAAGCAUCCUAUGUGAUGGAAAUUGAAAUUCAUCGAGAUAGGUCACGUGGAUUAUUAGGAUUAUCCCAAAAGAACUAUAUUGAAAAAUUUCUUAAAAGAUUCAACAUGCAAAAUUGUUUUAGUAGUGUUGCUCCUGUUGUGAAAGGGGACAUAUUUUGUGAACUUCAAUGUCCCAAAAAUGAUCUUGAAAAGAAACAAAUGGAAAAAAUUCCUUAUGCUUCAGCAGUAGGAUGUAUCAUGUAUGCUCAAGUCUACACUCAACUAGACAUAGCUUAUGUGGUAGGCAUGCUUGGUCGAUACCAAAGUAAUCCAGGUAUUGAUCAUUGGAAAGCAGUUAAAAAAAAGUAUUGCGUUAUUUGCAAGGGACUAAGGACUACAUGCUUACAUACAAAAGAACAGAUAAUCUAGAGAUUAUUGGUUAUUCUGAUUCUGAUUAUGCUGGCUGUAAGGAUACUAGAAAGUUUACAUCUGGGUAUAUUUUAUCAAAUGGACCUAUUUCAUGGAAAGGUCGUAAGCAAUCAUUGAUAGCUUCUUCUACAAUGGAGGCAGAAUAUGUAGCAUGUUAUGAAGCCACAUGUCAUGUAAUAUGGUUGAGAAACUUUGUCUCAGGGCUUCAUAUUAUUGAUUCAAUAAUGAGACCAUUGAGAAUAUAUUGUGAUAAUAGUGGUGCUGUCCGAUUCUCUAAAAAUAAUAAGACUACUGGAGGAUCAAAGCACAUUGAUAUUAAGUAUUUGGUUGUAAGGGAGAAAGUUCAACAUAGAGUUGUCUCUAUUGAACAUAUUAAAAAUACACUCAUGUUGGCAAAUCCAUUGACAAAAGGUCUUCCACCUAAGCUUUUUAUGGAUUAUGUUGCAUGCAUGGGCUUGGUGGCAAGUUUGUCAAUUUUAGAUUGAUUGAAAGUGUAAUGUAUGUGAUCACAUUAUAAUGAGAAUAAAGUUCUUGAUUAUGAUAUAUUGAUGAUUAUUAUGUUACUUUUAUACAUCAUUUUUGUGCACAAUCUAGAUGUUUAAAAGUUGAUGAGACCAUUAUGUGAAUGAAUUAGCAUUAUCACCUUAAUGUUGCUAAUGUCAUAAAAGUCAUUGAUUCAUGUUAAUGGAGGUGUUAGUACUAUAAUCCUUGAAGAAUAUUGGAUCGUUGUAUGAUCCAAUCAUUUCAAUGAUUUGGUGUUAGUGGUUCCAUGAAACAUAAUCUUAAAGUAAAGGAUGCCUAUUUUGAGAAAUUGUUAUGGCCAUAUUAUGUUUUAAUCUAUUACAAAUAUAAUUAUGUGGGCCAAGUGGGGGAUUGUUAGUUUUUUUCCCAUAAUGUGUGGCCAUAUACAAUUAUAUUUGUAUGAAUAUUAUUUAAGGGUAUCAAUUGAUAGGUUGGUGAAUCAAUUAAUUGGGCAUCCAAGAGUCUUAUGUAUGGAAAACUCAAAUUUAUAAAUGGGGAGUUAGAAAAUUUAACUCCUAUGAAUGUGGUGUUACAACUAUUGUAACCCUAUCAUUAUGAAAUUUAUUUGUACAUUAUGUUUAUGAGUAAUAGAGGAAAAUGGAAAAGUAUAACCUAUGCAAUUAUAUAGAUGCAUUCAAGUUCAUAACCUACCAUUACCCAUUAAUUUGUACAUAAUGGGUGUAAAUAAUGAGUAUAACUCCCAUAUAGUCUUUGAUGGGAAGACUAAGAGAUGUACAAUUUUUUUUAUAAGUUGAGGUUUCAAGCCACAUUCUCAUUCUUAUGUCAUUUUUUGUUGUUUAUUUUUAACAACAUACACCAUACAAGUGACCCAUCCACUAUAUGAGAAUAGUGAGUUGAAGACCUUGACAAUACAAUUCACAAGGUGACUCAAUCUCACUUCAUGGAUCAAGGUAAGAAUAUGAUUAUUAUUUUAGUAUUUACAUUUAUUUUGUUUUAUGCAUCCAAAAUUGUUUUUUAAAAUAAUUAUUUCCGCAUAAAGUUUAUAAAAGUUUGGUUAACACUGCUCUUCUUCACUCCAAAACCAGGUUCUUUUCUCUUUUCUCUUUUCCUGCUUCUCAAUUCCCAUAAUUCUCAUUCAUCUUCAAUGCUCUUAAUCAAGUCCAAGAGUUGCAGAUUGAUUUCAUGGGAAGUCAAUUCAAUUAUGAAUGACAAUAAUAAUAGUGGCAAGAAAGGUCAAUUGUAGUUCAUUCUCGAGUCACAAGGUCAAAUAUUGCAUUGGGUUGACUCAUCUAAGUCUUCUUCUUGGUCUUUUAUGUAAACAUGGCGUAGCUUGGAAAAUUAUACUAAUAAAUCCAUCAUUGAUCUCAACAUCAAUAUUUUUUUCUUCAAAUUAUUUGAUAGGAAGCCUCCCCAACGUGGAAUAUUGAAUUUAGUUGUUUAAUGGACUUCAAUCGCAUGCUCUUUGAAAUUAAGCCCCAGUCCAUAUUUUUUGUGUGUGUUCAUAUGGUAACCUGGCCUGUUAAAGAUGUAUUUCAUUUUCUUGAAAAGAAAUAAUUAGUGCAUACAUAUUUUGAGAAGAGAAAAAUUAAGAUUCAAUAUAUUUACAUUAUUAAUUUAUUAAAUAAGUAAAUAAUUAAUUAAUCAAAUAAUUUUUCAAAAAAUUAAAUAAUUAAUUAAUCAAAUAAUUUUUCAAAAAAUUAAAUAAUUAAUUAAUCAAAUAAUUUUUAAAAAAUUAAAGAAAAUAUUUUUGUUAAUUAAAAAAAUUUAUUUAUAAAGGGUUUAGAUAGAAAACAAAAAGAGGUUUUAAAUGUAAAGUUGCAUGGAGAAGUGAAUUGUAUGGUUUGGACAAUUUCAUAAAUAAAUCCAUCAUCAUCAUUGUAAGAUGGUUUACCCUUCUCAAAAUCAUUAUCAAACCUAGGUGUUUUUAAAAAAAUUUAUAAAGAUUUAUAUAUAUAUAUAUAUAUAUAUAUAUAUAUAUAUAUAUAUAUAUAUAUAUAUAUAUAUAUAUAUAUAUAUAUAUAUAUAUAUAUUUUAUGAUUUAUCAUUCUUUAAAUUCUGUUGACUCUUCUAAGUCUAUUUAUUGGUCUUUUAGGUAAAUAUGGUGUACCUUGAAAAAUUCUAUCCAUCAUUGAUUGAGAAGAUGUAUUUCAUUUUCUUGGAAAUAAAUAGUUAGUGCAUACAUAUUUUGAACACUUAACCGAGGAGAAAUAUUAAAUUAAAAAGAAAAAUGGCACCAUGCACUUAUAAGAUUCAAUAUAUUUGUUUAUUUGUUAAAUAAGUAAAUAAUUAAUUAAUCAAAGGCUUUAAAAUAUUUUAUAGAAAAAACUUUUGUUGAUUAAAAAAUAUAUUUUUCAAGCAUCCAUCUAACGUGAAAUCAUGGGAUGCACCUUUUUUUUUUCCACGGAUUCAAUUACUCUUAGAAAAUUAUCCCUUAUUCCUUAUUUUUUGUGCUCAUAUGGUGACCUAUUGAAGAUGUAAUUUGUAUAAAAUACAAUUUUUUAGCCUUAUUUAUAUUUAUAUUUUUCUGUGAUUUAAUAUAUCCCAAUAUUAUUUUAAAACACUUAUUUUUUAUACUUUACUAUAAGUUUAGAAAAAAAAUUUAAAUUUUUUUAUACUUUACCUUGUCAUGUUACAAUGCCCUAACCUUUUCCAAAGGUGGCUUUGGAAAUUAUGGCCCCAUCCACAUUUUGAUUUGUCAUGUUUACAAGUCAUGUAUCUGGGAAUCAAUCCUUUCAAAAACCCACUAUUUGGAGUCACUUUCGGAAACCAUUCCCUUCUCCAUAUUUUUGUGUUCACAUGGUCAGUUGUUGAAGAUGUAUUUGAUUUUUCCUUUUAAAAGAAAUAAUUAGUGCAUAGACAUCUUCAACAUCUAACCAAGGAGAAAUAUUAAAUUAAAAAGCAAAAUGGGUCAACCUCAAGACCCAAGGUCCGAGGAACCCAAGCCUUAACAACCGAUGAAGGGAUGACCUCAAAACCGAAGGUUCUUGCGUACUCUUCGUACUCAAAGGAAGACCUUGACAAAGAGUCGAAGACAUAAAGUGGAAAAUGAAGGUUGACUAACUUGGCUUGCAGGGAAAUGAAGUGGCCUUAUAACAAACACGCACGAUUUCAUAUUCUCAUAAGAUUCAACGUAUUUGUUUAUUUGUUAUUUAAUUAGUUAAUUAAUAAAGUCUUUAAAAAAAAUUAAAGAAAAAACUAUGAAAAAUAUAAGGAAAAUUGGAUAAGAAGUAACCCAAUAAAAAUAUUUUAAGAAAUAUGAGUUACUUUGUAGUCUUUUAAUAAAAAAAUAAAAUACAUUUUAUUUAACAUAAGGAGAUUUAUCUCCAAAAAUUACACCACCUUUCAUUAAAUAAUUUUAUUUUAACAUAAGUUUCUAACAAAAAAACUUCCCAAGAAAAACAUCAAAUAACAUUGUAAAAUCAAUAUUGUAAGUAUGAUAUGAUUUUCCUUAGGUUUCCUCAAUAGCCUGAGAGACUAGUGAUUUGGAACCAGUUUCUAAGCUUUCUGGAGCAUCCCCAACACUUUUGUGAUCAAACUUGAAACUAUAGCACUUGGUCCCUUUGAUCAUGCCAAUCACAUUUGUUGAUCCCUGUGGCUGCUAAAUGUUUUGAGUCUCUAAAUAUCCGCUUCCUUUCCAAAACUCGAAUGAACAAAACUAAGAACUUUAAUGCAAUCACCUUUCUAAAAAAAAUAAUAAUAAUAAAAUUGAAAAAAGAAAAAAUCAACAUGCAUGUUUAAAUAAUCACUCACUUCAUCUAUGUACAUUAAUUUAUUCCCCCUUGUGUUGUGAUCUAUUCAGAACUCAUCUUCUGAAUCACUAGAAGAAGAGUUCCUGGACUUGUCUGGCAUGAAAUUUGGCGGCAAGUUUGGGAACUUCACUGGAAUUCUUGAUGGUGGUGACUUUGUUGAUGAUGGCCCCAAACUUGCUGUGGUUGUUUUCCUCCGUUGUAGAUUUCGAGCAAUAUCAACACAGACCUGAUCAACCAUACCCAGAAAAUCUUUUACUAUAAUAAAUAAUUGAAGCGGGCUUGCCUCUUUGUUCUUUGAAGAUCGUGGUUGAUAAUAUUCUGUUGUUCUCCUUAAGAGCUCCAUUACCCUUGUUUGCUCUUCUCUCACCUCCCUUAAUUCUUCGCCUGCUGCUUCGAGAAAACUUUUCAUCUUCCUCAAAAAUCCUCCAUCACUGUUGGCAAAUGGUGCCACAAAUUGCUUGAUUUCAGUGGAAUGGGCUGUGAGAGUUGAACAUACGCCACCAAAGGCAUUGUAGUCCAUUUCAGCUACUUUCUUUACAUUAGAGAAUUCAGCACUUAGGCUUCCUACCACUGGUAAACCAAUCAUUAUGUAUUCCUUUUCUCUAUCCUCUCUUGAUGCCGAGUUCUCAGAAUACAGGCUACUGUUGCUGCUGUGACUCAAGCUGCGAUUUCGGUUCAAAACACAACGUUUGCCCUCAGAACGGACUACUUCUUCCACAACAAAGUGAAGUAACGUAGUUUUUCCAUCAGUGCUUUUAACAUCAGAAAGCUUUUGAAGAGCAGCGAGGUUAAAAGCUUGGGCAUUCCCUCUGGAAGUUCCAGCAUUCAUGCGAUUGCCUGCCUCGAGUAUGGCUUCCAAAAGUUUUAAGAAAAGUCCACGAGUUCGAAGCUCUUUGCAACCCAAUUCAAGUGUUUGUAAACAUUCCCUGAGAUGGAGAAUCUCUGAGUCAUAAUUCGAUCUGAAAAACAUGGCACUAAGACGUAUGAAUGCUGAUGGAACAGCUUUUAGGAUAUGGUAGAGGAAGGAUUCAGCAUCAGCCAGUCUUGUGGGGUCUCCCUCGAAUGCAAGGAUUUGGGAUUCUUCUUCUUUAGUUGGGGCAAUUUUUGUAAGCUUUUCAAGAGCAUCUGCAUUCAGGUCUUGGCCCUUAAUGAGUGCGUUGAGGAUCUCUUUUCGCGAGAUUGCUAAAGAUCGGAGUACAAUUGCUGUGUUUUGGGACUUUCGACUAUCAAGGAUGAAAAUCUGAGCCGAUUGAAUUGAGCUGGCACCAUUUGGGUUGUUAUGGUUUAUCUGAGGAGAUCUCCCAUUAGCAGCAACAUUUCCAAACAGUGCAUCCAUGAGGUCACCAUCGAAGCUGAGAAAUCAAUUGAAAAUUUUGGAAAUCCAGUAAAAUACCAAACAGAGGUGGUUAUGUAAUUCAAGAGACCAAAUUGGUAAAAUAUUACUACCUGAAAGAACCGCCAUUAAUUUUGUGCCACACCAUUGAAUGAUCGGCGUUAGUGUUCACUUUAUCCCAAUGCAAUGGCUUCAGCGCCACCCGACCAUUUCCAGUCCCUGCCUUGCUAUAUCCAGAUGAAGACUCUCCUAGUUUACUGCCAUUAGGCAUCCCUUUGGUCACCGAUGAGGCUUCUUUUGAUGAUGAAGUAAAACCACCCGCCUUAGGUGAGGGAGGUGGUGGUGGUAUGGGAUUUAUCUUAGCUGGGAUUGGUGGUGAGGGAGGUGGUGGUGGUAUGGGAUUUAUCUUUGCUGGGAUUGGUGGUGAGGGAGAUGGUGGUGGUGGUGGUAUGGGAUUUAUCUUAGCUGGGAUUGGUGGUGAGGGAGGUGGAGUAGCACUUGGCUUCUGUGGAAUUGCCAAUAUAGGUGGUGGGGGUGGGAGAGAUGUGGAUGAUUGAAUUGUUGAUUCAGUUUUUCCCACAGCCUCAAGAGAAAUCUCAGAAGAUUGUGACGAAGGAGGGGGGGCAGAAAACCAAUUCAGAUUUUCCACUUCUUCUUGAACUUCAUCAUAGGAAGUUGAAGACUUUCCUCGUAGCAAAGGAAUUUCUUGUAUAGGCUCAGACUUCGCCCUCCCAUCUCCAUUCCGACUCAUCCUUUUUUCUUCAUGUUUCAGAUUAUGUAGAGCCUGUUUAGGGAAACUAUUCUUCCUGUAAUCACCUUCAAGCUUCUUCCAAUAAAGCACGUCCAAACCAUUCUCAUCGACAAUCAGCCCAUUUAGAUUUCCAUUGAAUCGUGAGAACUCAAUGUGACUCACCACAUUUUCACCUCCACCUCGUGGAUCAUUUUUACCUUUCUGGCUUCUCCCCCGUGCAACCGUGUACUUUUGGAACAGAAUGAAGAACAACCCGGAGACAACUAUUGUGGUGGCUGCUGUUACAGCGACUGCCUUAGCAACAGCAUAGCUUGACGAUGACUUUGAUGAUGGAAUUGAUAGUUGGGAAAUUCGAGGAUUGGGAAUUGGAUUUGUUGGAUUUGGAGGAGGCCGGAACGGAUAGAAAGUUUCAAUAUUCCGAGGGGAAUUGGGUUGACAAGAAGAUAAAUGAAGAAUAGAAAAAAGGGAGACAAAAAACAGGGAGAUGAGAGGGCAUGGCUGAAUCACAGCAGCCAUGGAGAAAAGUUGGAUACAAUUGCAGAGAGGAUUAAAACGCACUCUGCUAGUCUUUUCUUUAUUUCAGGCAAUGCUGGUUGAUGUUUUGUCUUGUGCUUUUUGGGGUUUGGUCGUUGACAGUUUCAAACAGGAGUAGUUAGUUGGACCUGUUCUCAUUUUGGUAUUUCCCGGGCUUUUGUAUUUGAAAAAUCUACGAGCCUCAAUUGAAUUUGGAGGAUUCUUUUAUGAAUCUGAGGUGAAACAAAUUCAAACUUCAUCCCAGUAUUGAUUUUGGAAUUGAGUCGGUCUGAUUUAAAGCUUAUAUAUUAAAAAUAUUUAAUUACAAAGGUUUUUUAGUCUUUUUAGACGGAAAUAAUAUGGAUUGCUUUCUUGAAGCGUAAACUUGCAGCAAGGGAAGUGAUUGUCCUAGUCAUUGUCAUUGUCAUAGACGAGUCUUUUGUAGUGCUAAAAGACACAGAGCUGGGUGGUCGGCGACGACCCCAAUAUAAGACUUGAGCCCUGUGCUAAAAGGAGUUGCUUGACUUUGUGUGCUUCCAGGAAACAUUGAUUUCCAGGAAAUUAACUCUAAAAAAUAUAAUAAAUUUAUAAGGCCUUCAUUGAUAAAAUUAAUAUUAAUAAUAAUUAAGUGUAUUUAUAAUAAAUUUCAAGAGGUUUCAAUGAAAUUAACUCUAAAAAUUGAAAUAAUUAAUAUAUUUUAAAAAAAUUUAAAUGAAAAAUAUGGAUGAAAAUAAAAUAACAUAUAAAAUAUAAACCAUCCAUCUUUGAUACAAAGGACAAAAAUUUUGGAGAAAAAUGUUUCAUCAUUCCCUUGAUAAAAAAACUUACAUUUGUUUUAACCAUAAUAAUAGAAGAAAAAAAAGGGUAAAAGAGAAAAUGGAAGGUGAAAAAUGACGCAAAUAUAUUAAUUUCAUAUAUGCAUUCUGUUAUUUUUUUAAAAUUUAUAAAAAUAUUAAAAUAAGGAUAUUUUAGUUAUUAUGUUUUAAAAAAGUAACCAUGCUCCCUAUCUAAAAUAAAAUACAUUUUAAGUUUGUUUGUUUUGAAAAACAAGUUUUUCAAAUAUUUCAAUUCUAUUGCACCACCUCCCGAUUUUUUCAAAAAUACAUACGUAGAAGAUAGAAAGAGUUUUUAUCUCAUAUAUUAAAAAUAUUUAAAUUAGGAAGGUCUUUUAGAUAGGAAAGAAAAUCAAAUUAUGUGAUGAAUAAUUGAAUAUAAAUUGUCCCUUUUCAGACGUAAACUUGGUUUGUUAGGUUAGAAGAUAGCCAGAUGGGUGGUCAGUAAGAGAAUCAUGUGGACACCUAUAUUAUAGACUGAGAUUGAAAAAGAGUUGCUAGUUUUUUUACGGGAAGAGUCUUUGAGUCAGUCUGGAACUAUCUAGGAUAGUUUUUUGUUCUCUACGAAUAAAAAAUAUAAAAAAAAGAAUGUUUGAUAAUUAAAAUUGUUUUAUGUUUUAUAUUUUUAAGAACCGAAAAGAAGAUGUUUUUAAAAAACAUCUUCUAAUUAUUUUAUAUUAUUUUUAUAUGUUUUUUUAAAGUUAUUUUAAGAAAUAAUUAUACAAAUAUGUAAAAUGAUUAAAAAUAAAAUACUAGAUAUAAAAAUUAUUUUUAAAAUAUGUUUUAAAAUAUUAAAAACAUGUUAAAAACAUUUUAGGUAUUCAAAUAGAAUUUUGUUUUACAAAAAUCAAAGAACGGUUUUUAAAAAUUGUUUUUAAAAACUAUUUUUCAAAAUUCUUUUUGAAAGCAGUUACCAAACAUACCAUUUUUUUGCAUUGAGAAGUGUUUUUGUUUUUUGAUAUUUUGUAAAACAAAAAAUUUAUUUGUUAAUUUGAAAUAUUUUUGUGUUGAAUAUGAAAUAUUUUUAACCUAUUUUUAUUUUUUCGUAUUUUUAAAUAUAUUUUAAAAACAAUUUUUGUUUGUAGUAUUUUAUUUUGAAUUAUUUUUCACAUUUAUAUAAAUAUUUUUUUAAAUAGUCAUAAAAAAUAAAUUAAAAAAAUUAAAGGAUAUUAUUUAAAAUACCUUAUGUUCUAUUUUUAAAAAUAAAAACUAUUUUUAUUUUCCAUUUAUCAAAUGUAAUUUUUUUCCUUCCGAAAACAAAAAAUUGUUUUCAAAAAUAGUUACUAGAGAAUGCCCUAAGUACCAAAGUAUUUUGUGGAAGAAUAUAAGGUAAAUUUUUUAUCUUUUGUAAAAUUUUUAUUUUUAAACAUAUAAAAUAGAAAAUAUAUCCAUAUGUAAUUGUAGUAAUUAUUAUAAAUGUUUUAUUUGAAUUUUAGAUAAUUUAAAAAAAUUUCCUAAAAUUUUAUUUAACUUUUAUAAUUUGUUAAGGUCUAGGUUUUUGUCAAGUCUUCAUCUACAUUUAUGUAAAAUUAUGUAGGUUUUCAAAGAUUCUCGGAAAAAUUUAUUUCAUUCUCAUUUUGAUUAUACUGGUUUGUUUUUGUCAAGUCUUUGUCUAGUUUUAUGUAACAUUUUGUAGUUUUCUAAAAAAUCUUGGAAAAUUUUAUUCCAUUCUCAUUUUGAUUGUGUUGUUUUGUUUUUGUCUUCAUCUAGUUUGGUGAGGAGUCAAUAAAUUCAUAACGCGUAAAUCAUAACUUAUUUAAUUUGUUGACUAAGUUAAUAAAUAUGAUUUAAUAAUUUAAUUUAAGUAAUUAAAUAGAUUAAACAUCUUUGAUAAAAUAAUCUAAUAUCAUAAUUUAAUAUAAAAAAUAAUUUUAAGUAUUAAGUCAAAAUGCUUACUCAUUCUUAAUUUUAAAUCUUUUUUACCUAUUAUGCUCACAUGAAAUCUAAUACAAAAAAUUUUAUAAUCUAACUUUGGGUUUUUUUUUCUUUAAUGUUUCAUUAAUUUGAACUCUUAACUAAACAUAAAUAUUUAAGUGCAUAUUUAUUUUUAUAAUGAUAAGUAUUAAAACAAUAUAAAUUAAAUAAUGUAAUAAUUUUUAAAUUAUAAAUAAUAAGAUAGAUAGUGUUUUUAUGUAAAUAAAAUAAAAUACUAUAUUUUUUGUUUUGUUUUAAAUAUGUCUUCACACUUAAAUAUUAUAUAUGUUUUCAAAUAUUAGUUCAUUUAAAUUUAAACUUGUCCUCAUUUCUUUUGAUGAUAUCAAAUAUAAAAGAUAAAAUGUUAUUAAAAGUUUGAAUUAUAUUUAUAUUUCAUAGUUUUUUUACAUUAUUGGUUUGACCACAGUUCAAUUAUCAGUUCCAAUCAAUAAAUCGGUAAUUUUUUUUAUUCAAUGACUGGUCUAGUUCUAAAAACAUUGAUUUAAUGUAUUAAAACAAUUUUAAUAUUUAAAGUAAAAAUAAAAUAUUAUGUUUAUUAAAUAAUAAGUAUUAAGUUUUAUUAGUGAUUAUUUAAAUUUUUAAAAGUGGUUUUAAGAAUUUGUCAAACACCUAAUUUAUCUCAAAAAACACUUUCAUGUAUCACAUAUGAGAGACUUUUAACUUUUUCAAAAUCAUUAUCAAACAUACUUAUGAAAAAUUUUACAAAGAUUUUUUGGUACAUAUUUUUUGUAAGUUGUCAUUGUUUACAUUGGGUUGACUCUUCUAAGUCUUCUUCUUGGUCUUUUAGGUAAACACAGCGUAGCUUGGAAAAUUAUAUGAAUAAAUCCAUCAUUUAUCUCAACAUCAAUAUUUUUUUCUUCAAAUUAUUUGAUAGGAAACCUCGGAAAAUAUUGCCUUGAAAAAUGUGGUUGUAUUCACAUUUUUUCCACGAUAGUAGAGGUCUCAUAUUUUGGCUAUGAACUUUUUGGAAAAUCUAUUAUUAGAAGUAAACAACACGUAACUAAUUAAGUCAUUAAAUUAUUUAGAAAUAGUUUUUUUAAAGGUUCUUAGAAAACUUUACAUUUUUAUUUUGAUUUAUAAUGUCUAAAAAUCCUAUAUUACACUAUAAAUUAUUUUAAAAAUAUGCUAUUAGGAGUAAAGGAAACAAGAAACUUAUAUCAGUAAGAAAAAAUUUCUAUCUUUACCUUUUGAAAUUAGAGAAACUAUAUUUUUUUUAAUUAUAAGAAAUGAUGGAAAAAUAGUCUAAUUGAAAAAAAAAAAAAGGUAAAAGAGAAAAAUGUUUGUUUUAAAACAUAAUUUUUAAAUAUAAACCUAAAAAUAUCAAAUGUAUUAUCAUUAAUAUUUGAAAUUAUCAAAAUUUGUGAGAUAAUAAUUUCAUUUUGUUCUCCAUUAUAUAUUUAUGUUUAUAUUAAAUUUAUUUUCAUUAAUUUUUUUUAAUAUAUUAUUAUUUUGUGUUUAAUGGGAUAAUAUUUUCAUUUUUUUUUUGUAUAUUAUCCAUUUAUGUUUAUAUUAAUUUAUAUAUAUAUAUAUAUAUAUAUUAUCAUUUUGUGUUUAAUGUACAAUAAUUUUUUUUUUUGUCUAUUAUGUAUUUAUGUUUAUAUUAAAUUUGUUUUAUUAAUUAUCUUUUAUAUAUAACCAUUUUUUAUUUAAUGUGUUUAAAAAAAAUUAAAAUUUAAAAGAUGUAAUGAGAGAAAGUGUAGUGAGAAAUAAAUAAAUAAAUAUGUGUCGAAAACUUAGAUAAGGUAACAUGGAGGAGAAAAGAGAAAAAAAAAAUUGACUCAAUUGUGUCAAAAACCCGUAAAGGUUUUUGUGUGAAUCUCAUUCUUUUUAUUCCAUUUCUUCUAUCAUCUCUUAUAUUUUCCUUUUUCAUGUAAGCACGUUAAAAGUUUACCAAAGUUGCGAUUAAUUAAAAAAUAUUGCCUGUUCACAUUUUGAUUCAUUCAUGAUGUUUAAAUGUUUUGCAUGUAUUUGGGUUCUAGCCCUUCCAAAAAUCCACUAAUUUUUGUGUUUUGGAAAAUCCUCACCUAGUUCAUAUUUUUUGUGUUCUCAUUCUUCAUUAAGUUAGAAGACAAUCUUAGUGAGUGUCAAUGUUCACAUUACUUUUAUUGCAAUCCACUUGAGCGGAGACAAGGAAAUUUCAUUCAUGGUGGUCUUCCCACUAAAUUAAGGUGAUUGAGAUUUGUUUCGAUGGGUCAAUAUCAUGAAUUAUGUGAACACCAAUAUUAGAGGUUGUAGUAGUAGACUAUAAAAGUGUUGCCUAACUUGGGGUGUUUUCCGGAAGAGAGCCUCUUAGACACCAAUAUUCGAAAGCACUUAUCUUGAUUAUGGGGGUAAAAAAUGAAGUAGUUUUUGUUUUAGCUUAUGUUUGGUUCUUGGAAAACACUAAGGAAAGAAAAAAAAUGUAAAAGAAAAUGAUUUUUUUCAUGUUUAAUUAUCUUAUGAAAAAUAUCAAAGAAAACCAAAUAUAAUUAUAACUAGUUAGAAAUUUAUAUAUAUUUAAAUUAUUUAAUCUUUAUAUUAAUGAGUUAAAAUAAGUAAAAUGAGUUUAAAAUAACAAAUAAAAAUAAUUUAUAGACUCUUAAUCUAUUUUUUAUUUUCCUUUACUUUUUAUUUCCUUUUACUUUUCCUUUGCAUUUUUUUUCCCUUGCAUUUUUCCUUAAAUUUUUUGAGAACCAAACAUAGCCUUAGGAAACAAAAGAAGUAGUCCAAAAGUAUUUUGUAUAUGAAUAUAAGGUAAAUUCCUAUCUUAUGUACAAUUUAUAUUUUUAAAAAUAAAAAAUGGAAAAUAUAUGUACAGACAACCUUAAUAAUUAUCAUAAAUAUUUUAUUUGAACUUCAAAUUUUCUUUUCAUUUUUCAUUUUAUGAUUUAAAAGUUUUAUUUUUUCUAAAAUUUCAUUCAACUUUUAUAAUUUGCUAUUGUUCGCUUUUGUUUUUGUCAAGUCUUUGUCUAGUUUUUCAAAGAUUCUUGGAAAAUUUUAUCUCAUUCUCAUUUUGAGCGUGUUGUUUUGUUUUAGUCACGUCUUUAUCUAGUUUUAUAAUGAGUCCACAAAUCCAUACUGCGUAAAUCAUACGUAAUUUUUUUUUUUUGACUCAUUAUGAAUAUUUUAUUUAACUUUUAAAUUUUCUUUUAAUGAUCAUUUGCGUUUGUGAAGGGUCAUUCUUUUCAUUUUGUUUGACUUCUCAAAUCUCAUUUUCAUGUGAAACUUUGUAGGGUUUUCCAAAGGCCCUUGGAAAAUAUUGCCUUAUUCAUUAUGAAAUCUUCCAAAAAUCCAUGACGGGCAAUAAAUAAGGUAUAAGCUUAAUUGAGUGAUUACAUUAUUUAGAACUUAUAUAGGAUUGAUUUUAGGUAAAGCAUUCUUAAUUUGUAGUAGUCUUUGUAAUUAGUGUUUUUAUUAGAAAAACUUUUUAAGAAAAAUCAAUUAGUGCUUAGAUAUAAUAACAAAAAAAAAUAUAUAUAUUUUUAUAGUAUUUUUAGUAAUGUGUUAUAUAUAACAAAAAAAAAAAAAACAUAAAAUCUCCUAACAUGUGAUCAUCCAUGAAUCACUUUAGAUGAUUAACUAAAAUUUUAAAAUAACUUUAUGAUUAUCAUUCUUUAAUUUCGGUUGACUCUUCUAAGUCUACUUAUUGGUCUUUUAUGUAAAUAUGCUAUAGUUUGGAAAAUUCUAUCCAUCAUUAAUCAACAUCAAUCGUUGUUUUCUUUAAAUGAUUUGAUGGGAAAGCCUACCUCACAUGGAAUAUGGAGUGCCUUUGUUUAAUGGAUUUCAAUUGCAUGCUCCUGGAAAUUAUGCCCUAAUCCAUAUUUUUUUGCGUUGAUAUGGUGAGUUGUUGAAGAUGUAUUUCAUUUUCUUGAAAAGAAAUAAUUAGUGCAUAAACAUUUUUGAAAUAUUAAAUUAAAGAGGAAAAUGACACCAUACUCCCAUAAGAUUCAAUAUAUUUGUUUAUUUGUUAAAGAAGUAAAUAAUUAAUUAAUCAAAGACUUUAAAGGAAAUAUUUGUGUGAAUUAAAAAUAUAUAUUUAAAUUAUAAAGGAUUUAGAUAGGAAAGAAACAGAGGUUUUAAAUGUAUAAACUUGCAUGCAACAAAGGGAAUUUGUUGUCAUUGUCUACUGCCUUCUUUGUUACGUUAGAAGAGAGACAGCUGGGUGAUGAGCAUUUGUGUUCGAUCACAUUUACUUUUAUUGCAUGCAGUCCGCACUUAACUGAAAACAAGAAAUUAAUUCAUGGACCACGAGGACAUUAAUAUUAAUAUUAGAGACGUGAGCAGUAGACUGACUUGACUUGGUGUGUGCUUCCGGGAAGAGUCUUUCUUAGUCUUAGGCACCAACUAAUAUUUAUAUUUAUAUUUGCAUUAUAAAAGUGUGGUAAGGUUUAAUUGAUUGCGCAGAAUUAAAGAUGGCGUCCUCCAUUAUUAUUUUUACAGCAGUGGUGGUAGUUACCAUCACCAGUACCAUGAUGAUAAUGUUAUUCCCCCUUGCCAAUGCAAUAUCAUCACCAUCUUCAUCAACUGAUGAGGCAGAGGCUUUGCGCAGCACCGGUUGGUGGAAUUCUACCUCUGCUCAUUGCCACUGGGAUGGUGUAUUUUGCAAUAAUGCCGGAAGAGUGACUGGAAUCGCCCUUUACGGUUCAGGAAAAGAAUUGGGUGAGCUUAGCAAAUUGGAUUUUUCUUCAUUUCCCAGCCUGGUUGAGCUCUCCCUUUCUGACUGUGGACUCAAUGGUAGCAUCCCACACCAAAUAGGUACUCUUACUCAACUCACC
RNAcentral lists this long non-coding RNA (22786 nucleotides) under Vitis vinifera (wine grape). RNAcentral's name for it is "long non-coding RNA (VVIN_LNC004885)". Lineage: Eukaryota; Viridiplantae; Streptophyta; Magnoliopsida; Vitales; Vitaceae. The record is from RNAcentral.